RNAcentral lists this ribosomal RNA (459 nucleotides) under uncultured bacterium. RNAcentral's name for it is "bacterial SSU rRNA". It matches the Rfam family "Bacterial small subunit ribosomal RNA", at positions 33 to 507 of the family's 1533-position model. The record is from RNAcentral.
ACGCUGGCGGCGUGCCUAACACAUGCAAGUCGAACGGGGUGAUUUCCUUCGGGGGAUCACUUAGUGGCGAACGGGUGAGUAACGCGUGAGAAACCUGCCUUUCAGUGGGGGAUAACACGGUGAAAACCGUGCUAAUACCGCAUGUUUUAUGUUGAGGGCAUCCUCGAUAUAAUAAAGGAGCAAUCCGCUUUAAGAUGGGCUCAUGUCUGAUUAGAUAGUUGGUGAGGUAACGGCUCACCAAGUCUACGAUCAGUAGCCGGACUGAGAGGUUGAACGGCCACAUUGGAACUGAGAUACGGUCCAGACUCCUACGGGAGGCAGCAGUGGGGAAUAUUGGGCAAUGGGCGAAAGCCUGACCCAGCAACGCCGCGUGAAGGAAGAAGGUCUUCGGAUUGUAAACUUCUUUAUAAGGGAAGAAAAAUGACUGUACCUUAUGAAUAAGCCACGGCUAACUACGUG